This 1719-nucleotide ribosomal RNA is filed under the name Gastropsetta frontalis (shrimp flounder). Its description in RNAcentral is "16S ribosomal RNA". It matches the Rfam family "Bacterial large subunit ribosomal RNA". The record is from RNAcentral. Lineage: Eukaryota; Metazoa; Chordata; Actinopteri; Pleuronectiformes; Paralichthyidae.
CGCCCAUUAGCUAGCCCAACCCCCCUCUCCCCAACAAUCUCAUACAAAUACCCACCAAUAUACGUAAUAUUCACAUAAUUAAAUCAUUCUCCCCCCUUAGUCCAGGCGAUGAAAAAGGAAAUUCGGAGCAAUAGAAAAAGUACCGCAAGGGAAAGCUGAAAGAGAGAUGAAAUAGCCCAGUAAAGCCUUAAGAAGCAGAGAUAAAGACUCGUACCUUUUGCAUCAUGAUUUAGCUAGCACCCCCAAGCGAAGAGAACUUAAAGUUUGUACCCCCGAAACUGAGUGAGCUACUCCAAGACAGCCUAUUAAUAGGGCAAACCCGUCUCUGUGGCAAAAGAGUGGGAAGAGCUUCGAGUAGAGGUGACAAGCCUACCGAACUCAGUUAUAGCUGGUUGCCCGUGAAUUGAAUAGAAGUUCAGCCCCCCAGAUUCCCCACUCUUGCACCCACUAACCCUCCAGACACAGAGAGAAACUAGGGAUGUUAUUCGAAGGGGGUACAGCCCCUUUGAAAUAAGAUACAACUUUUACAGCAGGUUAAGGAUCACACUCAACCAAGGAUAUGUGUUCUAGUGGGCCUAAAAGCAGCCAUCUUAACAGAAAGCGUUAAAGCUCAAACAUAAGCUACCUCCCCACAUCCCGAUAAUUUUAUCCCAAACCCCUAAACUUAACGAGCCCUCCUAUGCUAAACAUAGGAAUGACGAUGCUAAUAUGAGUAAUAAGAGAAUAUUAAGAACUCUCUCCUCGCACAUGUGUAAGUCGGGACGGACCCCCCACCGACUCUUAACGGCCCCAAUCAAAGAGGGCAGUGGAAAGUGUUAUAAAUUAACUAGAAAAACAUCCAAUAAAACCCGUUAACCCCACACUGGCGUGCCUAAAAGGAAAGACCAAAGGGGGGAGAAGGAACUCGGCAAAAAUAUUUAGAGCCUCGCCUGUUUACCAAAAACAUCGCCUCUUGCAAAGCUACAGUAUAAGAGGUCCCGCCUGCCCGGUGACGUGGAGUUUAACGGCCGCGGUAUUCUGACCGUGCAAAGGUAGCGUAAUCACUUGUCUUUUAAAUGGAGACCCGUAUGAAUGGCAUAACGAGGGCUUAACUGUCUCCUUCCCCCGGUCAAUGAAAUUGAUCUCCCCGUGCAGAAGCGGGGAUAAACCCAUAAGACGAGAAGACCCUAUGGAGCUUUAGACGCACAGGCAGAUCAUAUUAAAUAGACCUUACUACAGCCCCUAAACUAGAUGAAACCUGCCUCGAUGUCUUCGGUUGGGGCGACCAUGGGGUACACAAAACCCCCACGAGGAAUAGGAGUACACCCCGACACCACGACCUCCUACAAACCAGAGCGACAGCUCUACCCAGCAGAAAUUCUGACCAAACUGAUCCGGCAACGCCGAUCGACGAACUGAGUUACCCUAGGGAUAACAGCGCAAUCCCCUUCUAGAGCCCAUAUCGACAAGGGGGUUUACGACCUCGAUGUUGGAUCAGGACAUCCUAAUGGUGCAGCCGCUAUUAAGGGUUCGUUUGUUCAACGAUUAAAGUCCUACGUGAUCUGAGUUCAGACCGGAGUAAUCCAGGUCAGUUUCUAUCUAUGCCGUGAGCUUUUCUAGUACGAAAGGACCGAGAAGAAGGGGCCCAUGCCCCUGGCAAGCCUCACCCCCACCUGGUGAAAAAAUAUAAACUAGACAAAAGGGCAUAGCCCCCCCCCCCCCUGCUGAAGACGACAGUUC